GGUCUCACUCAUGGGCAGGUAACUUAGGAAGAAGAGGAGAAGAAAAAGAUUUUUUCCCCUCCUUGAUUAACCAAAGCUGGGUUUCCUGCCAUGAUGUCAGAAGGAGAGAAGCCUACCGCUCGUUAAUUUCAUCCCCCAGUCUGACCUAGGAAAUAAGAGAAGCACCUCAUCAAGGCAGCUGUUUCCCCCCCUGUGGUCAUGACGGCUGCUUCUCCGCACAGUGACUCUCUGGUGGUCUUGUUUGGGGCAACAGCUGGUGCAUAUGGGGCUAAGCUGGGUUCCGAUGAAAGGGAACUAAUUCUCUUGGUGUGGCAAGUUGUGGAUCUACACAGCAAGAAGGUAGGGACGCUGCACAAAUGCUUGGUGAAGGCCGACAAUUUGGAGCUGAGCGAUGAAUGUGGAGAGGUGACGGGCUUAACCCCUGAAGGCCUGAGCAAAGCUGAACCACUUGAUCGAGUUCUCCAGCAGUUCAGCCAACUGGUAUCCAGUGACCUAAAGGCUCUGGGAAGAAACACUUACACAUUCUGCACAGAUGGCCAGCUCCUCAUUCGGCAGGUCCUUCAUCCAGAGGCCUCAAAAAAGAAUCUCCUCCUGUCUGACUGCUUUUACUCAUUUUAUGAUCUGCGCAAAGAGUUUCAUGACUGCUACCCUAACGUGGCCCCCGUGAAAGACCAAACUAUCCAGUCUAUGGCAGAAUAUAUAGGCUUUAGGAUUAACGAAGCGGAGGAGGAUUUUGGAGUGUGGCAAGUGAAAGCCAUGGUGGCCAUUAUUUUCAGCAUGCUGCCGGAUACAUGUGUUGCAGAUCACAGGUUCACUGUCCCAGAAACUGUGAAAUACAAGUAUGAAACUGGACCCUGUAGUAAAUCAGAAGCAGUGGACAGCGAAACAGUAAUACGUGCCAGAGGGCUCCCUUGGCAGUCUUCCGACCAGGACAUUGCUCGGUUUUUCAAAGGCCUUAAUAUUGCCAAAGGUGGGGUGGCCCUGUGCCUGAAUGCCCAAGGAAGGAGGAAUGGAGAGGCCCUGGUGCGAUUUGUCAACUCUGAGCAGAGAGAUUUGGCCCUAGAGCGGCACAAGCACCACAUGGGUAGCAGAUAUAUUGAGGUUUACAAAGCAACUGGGGAAGAGUUCCUGAAGAUUGCUGGAGGUACCUCCAACGAAGUAGCUCAGUUCCUCUCCAAGGAGAACCAAGUCAUCAUCCGGAUGCGGGGUCUCCCUUUCACAGCCACGCCUGAGGAUGUCCUGGGGUUCCUGGGACCCGAGUGCCCCGUCACAGGAGGGAAGGAGGGGCUUCUCUUUGUCAAAUAUCCAGACGGCCGGCCUACGGGAGAUGCUUUCGUCUUGUUUGCCUGUGAAGAGUAUGCGCAGAAUGCACUUAAGAAACACAAGGAGAUUCUGGGGAAGCGAUACAUUGAGCUCUUCAGAAGCACGGCAGCAGAAGUCCAGCAGGUCCUCAACAGGUACAUGUCAACCCCUCUCAUCCCCACCCUCCCCACACCUAUCAUCCCCGUGAUGCCGCCUCCGUACACCAUCGCUGCUGGCAGCGUGCGAGACUGUGUGCGGCUCAGAGGCCUGCCUUACACAGCUGGGAUCGACGACAUCCUGGAGUUCAUGGGAGACGCUACUGCAGACAUCAAGCCACAUGGAGUCCACAUGGUCCUGAACCAGCAGGGCCGUCCCUCUGGUGAUGCUUUUAUCCAGAUGAAAUCUUCUGACCGGGCUUUCCUGGUGGCCCAGAAGUGCCACAAGAAGAUGAUGAAGGACCGUUACGUGGAAGUGUUCCAGUGUUCAGGAGAGGAGAUGAAUUUUGUUUUAAUGGGUGGCACUUUAAAUCGUAGUGGCUUGUCUCCGCCACCAUGUAAGUUACCAUGUCUUUCCCCUCCUGCCUAUGCCUUCCAGACAGCUGCCGCCGUGAUCCCAACAGAAGCGGCAUUAUAUCAAUCGCAAGCGCUCUUGCCUCAAACCAGGUCACAGCAGGCUUCGGCUGCUGUUGCCGCUGCUGCCGCCGCCGCCGCCGCUAGUCCAGCUGUUACCUACUACCCAACUCAGGCUGCUCAACUUUAUAUGAACUACACAGCUUACUACCCCAGCCCACCGGUGUCCCCAACCACAGUAGGGUACAUCACAGCACCCCAAGCAGCAGUCGCAGCCGCUGCCUCAGCCUCGCACACUCCAAUGCUGCCUCAGCCUGGUGCCCUUGUCCGGAUGCAGGGAUUGCCCUAUAAUGCAGGAAUGAAGGAAAUCCUCAGUUUCUUCCAGGGAUAUCAGUAUGCACCUGACGACUACAAUGGCCUUAUUCAGAUCAACGACCAAGCAAGGAGUGUGUUACAAGCACCGAAAGACUGGGUUUGUUUGUAAGUGUUUGUAACCUCCAGUGAAGGUAAGCUCAGAUUGGCGGAAGGUGGAGCCUUUUGGUGGUGAUUGGAAAGAGGGCAAAAUGAUCGGCUGGGAAUGGUGGGAAAUGUUUUUUUUCCUCCUUGCAUCCUCCCUUCCUAGCUUGUGGUGGGGACUCUGCUCACUAACAUUCCCUUGCUUCGGCGCCUGGCAUGAAUCAACUAACCUAAUGGUGGCAACGAUGCUGGAGACUUCUGGAGGAGAAGGGGAAUGCUGGCGAUUAUGUCUGCUUGGCAUUCUCUCUCCACUCCCUAAGGGUUCUCUUGUUUUAAGCUAACAUGAUCAUAUUGACUGCUUUCUGGCAUAUAUGCAUGUAACAGGAUCUUUCUGCUUUUGGACGUAAGGCAACGAAGGCAAAACGUUAUCACUUGGGGCACUGAAGGACAAGUUUCAAUGGUCAUGACCAGUUCUUCCAUUUUACCAUGGUUAUAUGUAGAGCAGGACAAGGGGGCACCUGUGAUCCUCCAGAUGUCGCUAGACUCCAGCUCCCAUCAUCCAAGACCACUGGCUGUGUGGGCUGGGGCUGAUGGGAGUUAAAGUCCAGCAACAUAUGGAGGGCAACAAGUCCCCCACCCCCUUGACCGAAGCGCACAGCAUUGAUGUCUCUUCCCUCUUCUAAAAUACUGCACACAGGAAAUCUGGUAUAUACUUUACAUAUAGGGACACGGGUGGCGCUGUGGUCUAAACCACUGAGCCUUGGGCUUGCCAAUUGGAAGAUUGGCAGUUCGAAUCCCCGUGACAGGGUGAGCUCCCGUUGUUCGGUCCCAGCUCCUGCCAACCUAGCAGUUUAAAAGCACGUCAAAGUUCAAGUAGAUAAAUAGGUACUGCUCCAGCGGGAAGGUAAACGGCGUUUCUGUGUGCUGCUCUGGUUUCGCUAGAAGCGGCUUAGUCAUGCUGGCCACAUGACCCAGAAAAACUGUCUGCAGACAAGCGGCGGCUCCCUCGGCCAGUAAAGCGAGAUGAGCACCGCAACCUCAGAGUUGUUCACGACUGGACUUAACUGUCAGGGGUCCUUUACCUUUACCUUUACUUUACAUAUAGUUUGAGUUUCAUUUGGCAUCAGACUCUCCUCCAGGCAACUGUGUUGCCUGAAACACCUGGGGAUUUUUAAUGCUGCAGAUGUCAUUGUUUCACUUUAUUGCUGAGGAGCACAUCCUUCAGCCAACCAUGUGCAUUAAACCUCCUGUUCAGAUCCUGCAGACAUAAUAUGGCAACCAGUGUGGGUUGUGGCCUCUGCUAAAUGUGUGGGUUCUGGGACUGGAUAACACACAUGUAUCAGAUUUCAUUCCCCAAUAACAUCAAGCCACCACUUGUGUGGACAAACCCAUAUUUUGCUACUGUCUUGUUCAAAUUUGUAGGUAUAAGCCUGUGUGUCAAAUCUCAAUUGUAGGCACUUGUUUGCUUGUUUUAAGUUGACCUUGUUGAGUGUGUGAGUGUGUGUGCAUGUGCUAAAGAAAGAUGUGGUGUCCAAGCCGGAACAUCAGGAUAUAUCUGAGCACCAUCAUUGUAGGACUAUAGCCAUCUUUUUUUCUUUUUCUCCACUCCAAUUUAAUGGUGGUCUACCUUCAGUGGUGCCUUUCCAACUGACUAAUUAUGCCAUGUAAGCUGUGCACAUUUUAGGGUAUAGGGUGGGGAGCAUGUGGCUCUCCAGAUGUAGCUGGAUUCUAGCGCUUAUCAUCCCUGGCUGUGAUUCAUGCUAGCUGGGGAUAAUGGGAGCUGUUGUCCAGCACCACCUGAAGUCCCCCACACCUGUUGCAGAGCAUCCUGAAGCAUGUUUUAGAAUACACAGAUAGCCCACAAAGACAGUAGGUAGGCCUGUUCUGAAGCAAGUCAUCUAGAACUCUCCUACAUCUGCAAGGGAAAGCUCAGUAAUGUGGCCAGGAUGCUUUUCAGGGAAAUGUGUUUACCAUAACCAACUUUCCCAUUAAGUAGCUCUUAGUAAGCUUCAAUAUAUGCGUACACACACACACACAAAGGUUCCCUGGAACAUACUUUGAAAAUCUCAAAAAUCUCUAGCCCUUUGUUUUAGGACACUGGGGUUGUAUUCAAUUAAGCCCUAACACAGAGCAAAUUAGAGUAUUACUGUAACCUAUUGUAGUAAGACAUGCUCAUUAGUUUCAUUGAGUCUACUCUGAGUAUGACUACUGUCGAAUACCAACUGGGGAUUUCAAUCCAAGUUCAGUCUUGGUCACUGAAAAAGACUGCUAACUCUGCCUUAUUUGGGACUGUAGCCCAUUAGAAUAUGGAUGUAACUCAAACUAAUGGGCAGGAGACAUGGAGCUUUCGCCCUCUCCCUCUCUCUCCCCAGCUUCAGGUUCUGCCUUCUCUGGAGUAGGAAGGGCCUGUGUUUCAUGGCUAAGGAUUGUGUGGUGCUUUGUACAUGAGAACUCUUGCAGGAGUUAUCAGCACUGACAAUGGGUUCAAAGGGAAAUCCUUUCUCCGGGAGAGAUGGUGGGAUGGUUCCUUCCUAGCACCCCAGGUUCCCCCUCUGUUUUUGUGUGAAUAUUUAUUUCUCUUGAGGCAUUAUCUCUAGACACCUGGCACAUUCAUGUGUGUCUGCCCAUGCACAUUUUAAUCUUUUACUGAUCAUCCUAGUUUCACACAAGGAAGGUCAGGAAAUCUUCUGGGGAAAGCCGCUCAUGAUAAAGACAAUAAGCAUUUGAUCUCAGAUUGAAGUCCUAGAUUCUGGCCACUGUGCAUUUCAGGUGGGUCUUCUCACCUCAAGGAUAUUGUAGAGUUGGAAAACAUUCAGAAAAGGGCAACCAGAAGUAGCAAUGGGAUGGAACAACUCCUCUGUGAGCAUUUGGACCUUUUGAGUGUAGAGAAAAGGAGUAAGAGGAUACAUGAGUGGCAUGGAGAAAGUGGGUGGAGGAAGGUUUUUCUACCACAUAACAUUAGAAGUCAUGGAAAAUUCAGGGCAGACAAACAGAAGCAUUUAAUCCACACUGCACAUAGUGAAAAUAUGGAAUUCAUUGCCACUGGAUGCAGUGAUGGUCACCAACAUGGAUGGCUUUAAAAGAGGAUUAGCCACAUUCAUGCAGGAUAAGGCACUGUUCUGCCUCCACUGUCGGAGGCAUCGUGCCUCUGAAUAUCAGUUACUGGGAAUCACAAGUGUGCCAGAGUGCUGUUGAGCUCAUGUGCAGCUUGCAGUUGUCCCAUGGACAUCUGUGAGGACAGGGUACUGGACUAGAUGAGCCACUGGCCUGAUCCAACAGACUCUUCUUAAGUUCUCAGAUGUGGGCUUGGGAAAGUUUUCUGCCCUGAAAAGCAGAGGCCUACUACCAGUGAGGACUGAAUUAUCCCAAACUAGAAAGGAUUUACUGCUCUUCAGGUUGGUCUCUAGUUGUUUUUCAGCUGCAACCAGCAUGGCUUAUGGUCAGGGAUGAUUGAGCAGCAGCAGCAGCAGCAGCAGCUGGAGAGCCACAAGCUCACAAUCCCUGGACAAGGCGGCCUGACUUAGCCUCCAUGGAGACUCCAUCCUCCUGCUUUACAACUUCAGUGGUCAGCCCAGCGGAGAAGCCCUGGUCACUUUCCCCAGCCUGGACUCGGCAAAGAAAGCCGUGGCCGAGAGAAGUGGAUGCCGCUUGGGAAGACACUGUGUGGAACUCUGCCUGAUCUAACUGAGGCUGGACCUUCUGUGGGGUGGGCAGGAGUGAGGAGAAUCCCUGCUCAAAAGUCACCCCUUCCUUUAAGAACACCGUCUUCCCUCACUCAAAAGUGCCUUCUCCUCCUGAUGUGCCUGGGAAACAAUCCUCGCAAGUGUCUUCAACUGAGUGGGACAGAAAUACACCUCCCCUCCCCCCCAAAAAAAGUAGUGCUAGGAUGUUUGAUUUCAACAGCGUUGCCAUGCACCCCACCCCCCACUUAAUUUGGAGAUAAAUCUGUAGCACUUCACCAGUUGUAACCACAAUAGAUGUAUUUUUAAUUUAACUUUAUUUCUGAGUCUCAAUUUGCAGAGGAAACUGAAGCCUAUAGAUUUCUUCAAAUUUUCAUUUCAUUUUGAAUCCAAACUUGCAAAAAAAAUUGUUGUUGUUGGCAGAAGGGGGAGGGGGUUGCCCUUGCCUUGAAAGUUGGCUAGCGGAAGCCUGUUUUCCUGAAAUGUGGCUGGGCAAAAAAACCCCACUUUGUUUUGAAUGUUUAUAUUAUUUCCUUUACUCCACUACAGAAUAACUUGGAAAGCUGCAUCCAAAUGAAAUUGCAGGAAAAGCUUUUUAGUUUCUUUUUUUUAAAAAAAAUUAAAUGUAUCAUUUUGUUGGGUAUGACACAAAUAAGUAAAUGAAAUAAAGCCAUAUCUGUCUCCUAACAUUCAAGCUGCCAACCUGUAAACCAAACGAAGAAAAAUCCAGAACUGCAAAGAAUUUCACUAGGACAAGAAUGGCACAUAAACAUUGAGGACUAGUAAAUUAUAUUUUGUUUUAUUUAAGCACCAUAGCUCUCAGAUACUGUAUAAAGCAUAUUUUGCUUUAGUUUAUGUGCAUGCCAUUUGUUUACAACAUUAUUCUUUAUUUGUAUAUUAUGAAGCAACCAGAGAAGUUGAAAUCUCACCCUAAUUAGUGCAUGUCUCUUUUUUAUGUGUAUAUAUGUGUUCAAAGAAUAUAGUUUUAUGUUUCGUAGUGUGUGCUGAAACAUCUACUGUAGAAGCACUAAAUGAUUUUGUUUUUACCGUGCCUUGAUCCAGGACUUUUCUCAAAAUGUGCAAUAACAGCAGAAGAAACCAGAAGGAGCCCAUUUUUGCAAGAGGCUCUUACCGGUACUUUUUUUUUUGCUAAGAGCAUACGACUUGGAGUAGUACUUAAAGGAAAGAAUCGGCCUCUCCCUCCCAUGUCAAAUGAUGGUGUAUGCUUCUUUAUAUAAUAAACAAAUAAAAAGAUGCUUGCAGGGGGGAAAUAACAACCCUGGCUUUCUUGAACUCUCUCUAGAUUUUGGUUAACCCUGGAUUGGAAAGCUGCAGAGACGUCACACUGAAAAGGUGCUGCAAGUUGCCUUCACCAUACAGUCAACAAUUUGCAUAUCGCUUUUAAAAGACACAAAUAAGUUAGUGUGAAUCGGGCGGUUCUUAUUUCCAACAACCUUUCCAUUAUGAACUUGCCUUCCGCUCUCUAUUUUAUAUUUCUUCCAGUAGCACCUUAGAGACGAAUACAGAUAUGAAGCAAUUAAAUGUUUAGCAGGUGUUUUCA
This is a non-coding RNA of Zootoca vivipara (common lizard), 7568 nucleotides long. Lineage: Eukaryota; Metazoa; Chordata; Lepidosauria; Squamata; Lacertidae. The record is from RefSeq and is a predicted model, not a curated record.